UAUUGGGCGUAAGCGCGCGCAGGUGGUUUCUUAAGUCUGAUGUGAAAGCCCACGGCUCAACCGUGGAGGGUCAUUGGAAACUGGGAGACUUGAGUGCAGAAGAGGAAAGUGGAAUUCCAUGUGUAGCGGUGAAAUGCGUAGAGAUAUGGAGGAACACCAGUGGCGAAGGCGACUUUCUGGUCUGUAACUGACACUGAGGCGCGAAAGCGUGGGGAGCACACAGGAUUAUAUACCCUG
RNAcentral lists this ribosomal RNA (237 nucleotides) under Geobacillus stearothermophilus. Its description in RNAcentral is "partial 16S ribosomal RNA". It matches the Rfam family "Bacterial small subunit ribosomal RNA", at positions 552 to 789 of the family's 1533-position model. Lineage: Bacteria; Bacillati; Bacillota; Bacilli; Caryophanales; Anoxybacillaceae. The record is from RNAcentral.